This 1517-nucleotide ribosomal RNA is filed under the name Listeria sp. RNAcentral's name for it is "bacterial SSU rRNA". It matches the Rfam family "Bacterial small subunit ribosomal RNA". The record is from RNAcentral. Lineage: Bacteria; Bacillati; Bacillota; Bacilli; Caryophanales; Listeriaceae.
AGUUUGAAUCUGGCUCAGGACGAACGCUGGCGGCGUGCCUAAUACAUGCAAGUCGAACGAACGGAGGAAGAGCUUGCUCUUCCAAAGUUAGUGGCGGACGGGUGAGUAACACGUGGGCAACCUGCCUGUAAGUUGGGGAUAACUCCGGGAAACCGGGGCUAAUACCGAAUGAUAGAGUGUGGCGCAUGCCACGCUCUUGAAAGAUGGUUUCGGCUAUCGCUUACAGAUGGGCCCGCGGUGCAUUAGCUAGUUGGUAGGGUAAUGGCCUACCAAGGCAACGAUGCAUAGCCGACCUGAGAGGGUGAUCGGCCACACUGGGACUGAGACACGGCCCAGACUCCUACGGGAGGCAGCAGUAGGGAAUCUUCCGCAAUGGACGAAAGUCUGACGGAGCAACGCCGCGUGUAUGAAGAAGGUUUUCGGAUCGUAAAGUACUGUUGUUAGAGAAGAACAAGGAUAAGAGUAACUGCUUGUCCCUUGACGGUAUCUAACCAGAAAGCCACGGCUAACUACGUGCCAGCAGCCGCGGUAAUACGUAGGUGGCAAGUUUUUUUCCCGGAUGGAGGGAGGCGUAAAGCGCGCGCAGGCGGUCUUUUAAGUCUGAUGUGAAAGCCCCCGGCUUAACCGGGGAGGGUCAUUGGAAACUGGAAGACUGGAGUGCAGAAGAGGAGAGUGGAAUUCCACGUGUAGCGGUGAAAUGCGUAGAUAUGUGGAGGAACACCAGUGGCGAAGGCGACUCUCUGGUCUGUAACUGACGCUGAGGCGCGAAAGCGUGGGGAGCAAACAGGAUUAGAUACCCUGGUAGUCCACGCCGUAAACGAUGAGUGCUAAGUGUUAGGGGGUUUCCGCCCCUUAGUGCUGCAGCUAACGCAUUAAGCACUCCGCCUGGGGAGUACGACCGCAUGGUUGAAACUCAAAAGGAAUUGACGGGGGCCCGCACAAGCGGUGAGCAUGUGGUUUAUUCGAAGCAACGCGAAGAACCUUACCAGGUCUUGACAUCCUUUGACCACUCUGGAGACAGAGCUUUCCCUUCGGGGACAAAGUGACAGGUGGUGCAUGGUUGUCGUCAGCUCGUGUCGUGAGAUGUUGGGUUAAGUCCCGCAACGAGCGCAACCCUUGAUUUUAGUUGCCAGCAUUUAGUUGGGCACUCUAAAGUGACUGCCGGUGCAAGCCGGAGGAAGGUGGGGAUGACGUCAAAUCAUCAUGCCCCUUAUGACCUGGGCUACACACGUGCUACAAUGGAUGGUACAAAGGGUCGCGAAGCCGCGAGGUGGAGCCAAUCCCAUAAAACCAUUCUCAGUUCGGAUUGUAGGCUGCAACUCGCCUACAUGAAGCCGGAAUCGCUAGUAAUCGUGGAUCAGCAUGCCACGGUGAAUACGUUCCCGGGCCUUGUACACACCGCCCGUCACACCACGAGAGUUUGUAACACCCGAAGUCGGUAGGGUAACCUUUAUGGAGCCAGCCGCCGAAAGUGGGACAGAUAAUUGGGGUGAAGUCGUACAGGGGUAGCCGUAAGG